AGGUGCGAUCGUACCAACAUUAAUGCAUCGGAUCCCAUAAGAAUUCUGCAGUUAAGUGUACUUGGACAAGAGUAGUACUAAGUUGGGUGACCACUUGGGAAGUCCUCUUGUUGCACCCA
Molecule: ribosomal RNA, 119 nt
Filed under: Cucumis melo (muskmelon)
Lineage: Eukaryota; Viridiplantae; Streptophyta; Magnoliopsida; Cucurbitales; Cucurbitaceae
Also listed under: 1 other name
Source: RNAcentral